This 4185-nucleotide long non-coding RNA is filed under the name Nicotiana tabacum (common tobacco). Its description in RNAcentral is "long non-coding RNA (NTAB_LNC015793)". Lineage: Eukaryota; Viridiplantae; Streptophyta; Magnoliopsida; Solanales; Solanaceae. The record is from RNAcentral.
UCAUUAACAAAGAUAAUAAAAUCGCAUAAAAAAUAUUAUUAAUUAGUAAGCCAUAAAAAAGAACAUAAUCUAAAAGUACUGUAUAAGUCAUGCUAAAAUAAGUACAUCUAAUAAGUACUAUUAAUUACAUGACUAAGCACUAAAGAAAAAGAUAAACUAAUUUAUGCAUUUUGUUAUACAAAUGCAAAACUAAGAAUAGAUAUCCAACGAUAUUGUCAUUUUUAGUGUUGAAUUGAAUUUAUUUUGUUAGCAUUAGUAUUGAUUUGACUUUAUUAGAGUUACCACUUGUGUGGACUAUAUAACUUAUUGAACCAUUCAAGAAUGUUAAGUCCAAAUUUGAAAUAAUAUAUUAAAAGAUAGAACUGUGAAAAAGUUCAAGAAAUAUUUAACAAUUACAUUACAAUAAAUAUUUAUAUGAAUAAAAUAUUUUCAAAAAUUGUAUAAAUGUAUUGUCGAUUUGGUUUGGUUUCGGUUUGAAUUUUUUAGUUAAACCUAAGUAAAUCAAUUAUGGUCGGGUUUUUUUUUCAAUACCAUACCAAAUCAAACCAUAUAAGAUUUUUUUUUUUUUCCGGUUUGACUCAGAUUAUCGGUUUAGUGCGAUUUGUCGAUUUUUUUCCCCUAAUGUAAUUUAUAUUAGUGACAACGUAAAUAUUUUGUACACUAUUGAAAUGGUAGGUCAACUUACAAAUAUUUUUUAUUAUUCGUACAUAAAACUUAAACUCGAUUGACAAAUAGUACUUGAAUCAUAAUAAGAUUCUAAAUAGAUGGAAAGUGUAAGUAGGAAUGUAGGAUAAAAGGGUGUUUAAUAGGUAGCUUGGUCCUACAGGUCUUGACUCAACCAACUUAGUCAAAUCAAUAUGAAUAUAGUCAAGGUAUAUACCUUCUUAACGCAAGAUCACUUCUAAAAUAAGUUUGUUACAAAUUGUUAAAAAAAGAUUUUCUUUCUCCGUAUAUUUCGUUUUUCAUUUUAGUUUUUAGCUAAGAAAUUUAAUCUAUUGCUUAUUCUUAAUUUAGUAAUAGCAUAUGUUAGGUUACACUUUAUUAACCGAAAGUUUUGACAGGUCAAAUUGAUCAAUACUCUCAACCUUUAUUUACAUUUAUUUUGUUUGUUAUCAAUAGCCCAAACUAUCAAACUUUCAACAAAUUGCGGUAGGUACAUAAAUAUAAGCACAUGGGUAAGACUGCCUAAUAAUAUGGGGCGGUUGAAUUGAAGAAGAUGGCUAUGGAGCUAAGAGCUAACCUACUCUUCCCUUUUAGCCAAGGCUAUAUGCAUAUACAUAUCAAGAUUGUCGACAAGUGAGGCCUGCUCAGUUGGUAAAAGCACCUCCACCCACGACCGUUAGGUCCGAAUUCGAAUCACGCUGGAGGGGAAGUGUGUAAACACUAUAAAUUCUUCUAUUUCGGGAGGGGUUUAAAAAAAUAUAUCAAGAUUGUCUUUAUCAAUUUAUAAGCAUGAAUAGGGUGGAAAGAUAGGUGUUGUUUUCACAUAUAGGUUGCUCAAUUUCUAUCCAUAAGGAAGAUAUUUUGAUAUUUUGAUAAUGAUGGGAAUAUGUGAGAGAAAUGAUACCAAAUAGCCACUCUAAAGGGCUGUUAUUUAGGAAUUAGUUAAUGUGUCCUGAAUUUUAAUUUAUCAGUUCAAUUUUUCGAGAUAUAAAUGUCCUAAAUUGUCCUGAAAAUUAAGAUUUUAGUUCAAUUUUUCAGGACAAAACAAGUAAUGAUAGUGACUAAUCCCUAAACAGGAGCACUAAGAAUGGUUGUUUGUGCACUUUCCCCGAAUAUGUGCCUACAAUCGAGUGGUGUGGUGGAUCGGUCAGAAAUCAUUUAUUCUUAAAAAGAUGUUUCGACAUCAAAUCCUAUAAUGGAGAACCUUUUUAAAGAAAGCAAUUUACCAAGUUAGUCCUCUUAAUUUAGUGCGAAACUAGAUUAGUCAGACUAACGAAGUUACUUCCUUUAGUUUAGUGCGAACCUAGAUUAGUCAGACUUGCGACUCACUAGUUUCAAAUACUUAAAAGGUAAAAAAGAAAAAAGAAAAAAAAAAGCACCAACUUCUUUGCAUAUUCUGUCUAACAUUUCUACACAUUACCAUUCAAAUCUAUGUUCUGUCAGAAAUCAUAUGCGCGAUGUAUUGAGUUGGAUCAUUGAAACGGUAUGGUCUCUGACCUCGACUAAUUCCAUAUCAGUGGGUUUCUACUUUCUACCAACAAUAUUAAAAUGGAAGGUGAGAGACGCCCACUCUAUACUUUUUCGCCAGCUUUUCUGCUUUGACAUAAAAAGAAAAAUCACCUAAUAUUUUUGUCUAGACUGAGAUUUGAACCAAACAUUUCAUGGUUAACUCACUUCAUUAACCACUAGGUACCUCUUGAAUGAUAUUUCAUAGAGGUGUCAAAUGGACGGGUUGAGCCAAUUUUGAACGGGUCAAAACGGGUUGAGUUAAUAAAUGGACGGGUCAAAUGACCCGCCCAAAAGUUACUUGAGCUUAUAUAUAUGAGUUGGGUCAAGAUGGGCUAAAAUUUGGGUCAUAGUCCAACCCGUUCAACUCUUACCAAAUUUUAGUUAAUAUGUAUUGUUUUCUUAUGAAUUGUAUAAUUACUAAAUAAGAUUUUUUUUUUUCUUUUGCUAUCAUAAUCAUAUCUAACAUAUCAAACCAAGAAGAUAAAUUAUUUCUAAGAUAUUUUGGCAAACUACUCAUGGAUCAAUUUGGACUAAAUAUCAAUCCAACUUUAAACGGGUUGAGAAUGGGUUGUGUCAAGAUGGACUAAAUUUAAUAAAUGGGCGGGUCAACAAUCAGCCCAACCUUAAACGAGUUGGGCAGGUCAUUUGGGCUUGGGCUAAAUUUGACGGCACUACUAUUCCAUCAACAUUUACAAAAACAUGUUUUUUUCCUUCUUCUAAAUACCCAUUAUAAAGUAAGCAUCGCUGAGAGAUCUGGGCUGAAAUGUUUUACAGUCACACAUCUCUAUAACAUUCCUAUAUAAUACUUCACUAUAAAAGUCAAGCUUUUUCGGAACCAAUUUUUAUGUUUAUGUUAUAAUAUAUGUCCUCUUUAACAACACUUCGCUAUAACAUCCAAAAAUAUUCAGAACAAACGAGGUUGUUAUAAAGAGGUUUGACCGUAGUAGGCAUAUGGUUCGCCUUUUGUUCUGUUUUAUUUUGUUUUCCUUUUUGAACUUCAUUCUUAUCGACAAAAUUACACAGGCAGCCAUAUACGAGGGUUUCAAGCAAGUCAUACCAAGGAAGAAUAGCAAAUCAAAGAAGGAAGUGCACUUCUCGUAACUUUCAACACGAACAGUCAUUUUGAUCUUAUGGAAACUUGUUAGUUGAUGUUCGUCUAGUAUUACUAGAAUCCUUGUAAAUUAUAUUUCAAGUACGAUCGAUGCUAUUUGCAGAGUAUAUUUCAAGUACAAUCAAUGGUAUUUGCAAAUUAUAUUUCAACUUAAAGUCGAAAUAAUAGGGGGUGGGCAGUCGGUUCGGUAGAAUUUCGGUUCGGUUUAUUCGGUUUGUGAUUUUAAUAAUCAAAACCGAACCAUAAUAACUUCGGUUCGGUUCGAUUUAGAGCUCGUUUGGAUUGAUUUAUUUUAAGUGCUUUUAAGCCAAAAUAACUUUUAAGUCAUUUUGUAGUGUUUGGAUAAAGUAAAAAAGUUUUUUUAAGCACUUGUUUUUAAGCUAAAAUGACAAAAAUAAGCCAAAAACUAGAAUUCCUAACUUAUGGCUUAAAAGUCACUUAAAACAAGCCCAUCCAAACAUGCUCUUAUUCAUGUUUUAAGAGUUAAGGUGCACAAUUUCGAGCUCUUGCCUUGUUUCAACUUUAUCCUAUUACUAAAUAACAGUUCAAAACUUUGUUAGUUUUCAAACUUAAAUAAUAUCAUGGAGAAAAAUAGUAACCGGAUUCUUGAUUAAGCUUAUUCGAUCAAAUAUAAGUAAAGAGAUUGAUACAUAGAAGCUACUACAGAUGCCUACACAAUACGUUUUCUCCUAAUGUGAGACAAUAUACCUAAUUAUUUUGUUUUUGAUAACCGUGGUGUCCGGGCAGCUUGCGCGCACCAGCAACAAAUAUCAGGUAACUCUAUCCACCAAGGCUUGGAUAGAUAGGAAGAAAUCACCUAAUAUUUGCCUCCGUUGGGAUUUGAACCUGAGACCUCAUGGUUUUCACCCACUUCAUUGACCACUAGGCCACAACCCUUGGGU